GCUUGAAAGAACGAAUCGAUGCAGAGGAGCCUAACAGAUCACUCCACUGAUCUCCAGAGUUGCCUGCUAUUCUCAACCCGUCUUCUACCAUCUCAUUUCUUUUCUCUGAUUUAUAAAUUGUGGCUGAUUUGCCAUGAUCCUCUGAUCCCCUCAAUAUGAGCUUGUCCCAAUCCUGAAACCCAGCAUUCAUCAAAUUCUCCACUGUAACAAUUCUGUGUCUUUCGCUGCGCCCAGUCAACAAGAAAACUUUGAAUCCUAGCCUCAUAACAUCUUGAUAAAGCUUCAAACUUGAUCCAAUUGCUA
This 303-nucleotide unclassified non-coding RNA is filed under the name Hevea brasiliensis (rubber tree). The record is from RNAcentral. Lineage: Eukaryota; Viridiplantae; Streptophyta; Magnoliopsida; Malpighiales; Euphorbiaceae.